GGGCUCGCUUGGGCAGCACAUAUACUAAAAUUGGAACAACACAGAGAAAAUUAGCAUGGCCCUUGAGCAAGGAUGACACACAAAUUUGCAAAGUGUUCUGUAUUUUU
Vicugna pacos (alpaca) is the source of this 107-nucleotide small nuclear RNA. The record is from Ensembl. NCBI's taxonomy places the organism in Eukaryota, Metazoa, Chordata, Mammalia, Artiodactyla, Camelidae.